RNAcentral lists this ribosomal RNA (495 nucleotides) under uncultured bacterium. RNAcentral describes it as "partial 16S ribosomal RNA". It matches the Rfam family "Bacterial small subunit ribosomal RNA", at positions 28 to 507 of the family's 1533-position model. The record is from RNAcentral.
GACGAACGCUGGCGGCGUGCCUAAUACAUGCAAGUAGAACGCUGAAGGAGGAGCUUGCUCUUCUGGAUGAGUUGCGAACGGGUGAGUAACGCGUAUGUAACCUGCCUGGUAGCGGGGGAUAACUAUUGGAAACGAUAGCUAAUACCGCAUAACAGCAGAUGUUGCAUGACAUUUGCUUAAAAGGUGCAAUUGCACCACUACCAGAUGGACCUGCGUUGUAUUAGCUAGUUGGUGGGGUAACGGCUCACCAAGGCGACGAUACAUAGCCGACCUGAGAGGGUGAUCGGCCACACUGGGACUGGGACACGGCCCAGACUCCUACGGGAGGCAGCAGUAGGGGAUCUUCGGCAAUGGACGGAAGUCUGACCGAGCAACGCCGCGGGAGUGAAGGAGGGUUUCGGAUCGGAAAGCUCGGUUGUAAGGGAAGAAAGAGUGUGAGAGUGGAAAGUUCACACUGUGACGGUAUCUUACCAGAAAGGGACGGCUAACUACGUG